This is a long non-coding RNA of Sorghum bicolor (sorghum), 1776 nucleotides long. RefSeq lists it as uncharacterized. The transcript is spliced from 6 exons. The record is from RefSeq and is a predicted model, not a curated record. Lineage: Eukaryota; Viridiplantae; Streptophyta; Magnoliopsida; Poales; Poaceae.
CUUCUGCUUCUCGAUCUUUCUUUCGCUCGCUCUUUCUCCCUCUCUUCCUCGACGCAGACGCUGGCGACAGCGACGCCGACGGCGACCAUACCCUUCGCAGGCCACGCGUGUGCCCCCGGUUGCUCAUCCCCGGCACGAAGACGCGCGACUGGGCCCUGCUGGUGGCCGUCGGCAUGGCUUCCCCUCGGCGCUGCAUCCUCCCGUCGAUCCGCGAUGUCUCGGCGAAACCCUAGCUGCCUCUUUCCGGUCAAGCCGACCUAGUCAGGGCCUCCAUGGCGCAAUUGUGCGGGCCUGGCCCCAACACGAGCGGUGCGCUGGUGUAGCCUCUCAGAGUCUCGGUGCACACCAGCGCUGCCUCCUUCCACGACCCCGGCUACGUCGCGUCGGCAACGUACGUCCAGCGGCUCGGCAGCGGCACAAAGCCAGAUUAGAUUUCCUUGAUGAGUUGCUGACCAAACUAUGUGUUGCGAGCUGCAUACCAUGUGUUUGAUACAAUGCCCGUGUGUGCUUACUGUCCUUUUGCGUUUAAAAUGUGGUUUACCAUCAUGUACAGUACGAUGAUAACUGGCAACUGAAAGUGGUUUUCUCACAUGUGUUCAUCCAAUGAAGAACCAUUUAGAUUAGGCUAAAAUCUUUACAUUCUUAUCAGCUAAUGCACUCCUUUUCAAAUUACUGAGAAGCUAAGAAAAAACUUUGCUUGCAGCACUGAUUUCUUUGCUUAUGGAUUUCAUAUUUGUAUCUUUAAUAGUUCAGUAACUUCAGUUGAUUACAGAACUGGUCCAGGAUCUUGCAUUUACUAUUUUUGAACUUACAAACCACAAAUCAUAUUUUUUCGUGCAUCCCUUAUUCUGUUUGUGAUUUUGCAUAUAAAUUAUGAAUGUUAAUUUGCGUCUAGAAGAUAAACAACUUGUAUAUCCUAAGGGGCGUCAAAUGACAGAAGUUGUAUGUAUUGAUUUCUUUCAGCUGGAAUAGAAGCAUGGAACUACUGGCCUGCAGCUUUUGAAUUUGGAGGACAUGACUGCUGAGUGUUGCAACGGUCAUGCUUGGAUGUAUGGCCUAUUGGUAGAUAUGCAGUUGCUGGAACAGCUGCCAAGAAAAUAAGAAAUAGUCAUAUGUGCUGCCAAGAAUUCGUGUCAAUCGUUUGCAGCAUCACAGUGAACACCCAGCUGUUUCAUUCAUGGGGAUGCCCCUCGGCUACCUUGUUGUUUCUUGCAAUCCUCAUGGCAACAAUGCAGUCAUGAUAUGUCUGCCAUGGCGUCGCUGAUACCCAGCGACAAGUGACCAGUCUGAGAAAGGAUAUUUGCCAGAUUUGCUUUCUUGGUUCACCAGUAUUUUGAUUGACAGCCCAUUUCCAGACAGAUGAAGACUAAAACAACAAUUUUUGCAAACAGAUUUCUUCAAACGUCACUUUUGUAUAUUACAUACAGAUCAAAAGUCCGAUGAUUCCCGACAGGAGCAUAAAGGCAAUUCCUUCAGAACAACGCCAGAAGUGAUUCAGAUGCGAAGCAAGAUACUUUAGCGCCAUGGAAUGGGUUAGGCUUUAUAUGUCAGAAACAAUCAUCAUCCCCUAGCUAUCUCAGAACGGCUCAUCAAGGUCUACGACCUUUUUACCUAUAAUGCAUGUAAUAUAUACCUCUCUAUAAUCAGCUCCAAAGACAUCAAGGUCUAUGACCUUUCACCUAUGUACUAAGCCAUCAACAUAUGUAAUAUAAUAUACACGUACAAAUAUAUACAUGUACAUGUAUAUCUCCAUCAAUAUAACCUUAUCAUGGAUAA